This 253-nucleotide ribosomal RNA is filed under the name uncultured bacterium. Its description in RNAcentral is "partial 16S ribosomal RNA". It matches the Rfam family "Bacterial small subunit ribosomal RNA", at positions 524 to 776 of the family's 1533-position model. The record is from RNAcentral.
UACGUAGGGGGCAAGCGUUGUCCGGAUUUAUUGGGCGUAAAGAGCGUGUAGGCGGCCAUACAGGUCAGCUGUGAAAACUCGAGGCUCAACCUCGAGACGUCGGUUGAAACCGUAUGGCUAGAGUCCGGAAGAGGAGAGUGGAAUUCCCGGUGUAGCGGUGAAAUGCGCAGAUAUCGGGAGGAACACCUGAGGCGAAGGCGGGCUACUGGGCCGAUACUGACGCUGAUGCGCGAAAGCCAGGGGAGCAAACGGG